RNAcentral lists this ribosomal RNA (839 nucleotides) under uncultured Mycobacterium sp. RNAcentral describes it as "bacterial SSU rRNA". It matches the Rfam family "Bacterial small subunit ribosomal RNA", at positions 68 to 918 of the family's 1533-position model. The record is from RNAcentral. Lineage: Bacteria; Bacillati; Actinomycetota; Actinomycetes; Mycobacteriales; Mycobacteriaceae.
GGAGAGUGCCCCUUCGGGGGUGACUCGAGUGGCGAACGGGGGAGUAACACGUGGGUGAUCUGCCCUGCACUUUGGGAUAAGCCUGGGAAACUGGGUCUAAUACCGGAUAAGACCAUGGACUUCACGGUUUGUGGUGGAAAGCUUUUGCGGUGUGGGAUGGGCCCGCGGCCUAUCAGCUUGUUGGUGGGGUAAUGGCCUACCAAGGCGACGACGGGUAGCCGGCCUGAGAGGGUGUCCGGCCACACUGGGACUGAGAUACGGCCCAGACUCCUACGGGAGGCAGCAGUGGGGAAUAUUGCACAAUGGGCGCAAGCCUGAUGCAGCGACGCCGCGUGGGGGAUGACGGCCUUCGGGUUGUAAACCUCUUUCAGUACCGACGAAGCGCAAGUGACGGUAGGUACAGAAGAAGCACCGGCCAACUACGUGCCAGCAGCCGCGGUAAUACGUAGGGUGCGAGCGUUGUCCGGAAUUACUGGGCGUAAAGAGCUCGUAGGUGGUUUGUCGCGUUGUCCGUGAAAUCCCACGGCUUAACUGUGGGCGUGCGGGCGAUACGGGCAGACUGGAGUACUGCAGGGGAGACUGGAAUUCCUGGUGUAGCGGUGGAAUGCGCAGAUAUCAGGAGGAACACCGGUGGCGAAAGGCGGGUCUCUGGGCAGUAACUGACGCUGAGGAGCGAAAGCGUGGGGAGCGAACAGGAUUAGAUACCCUGGUAGUCCACGCCGUAACGGUGGGUACUAGGUGUGGGUUUCCUUCCUUGGGAUCCGUGCCGUAUCUAACGCAUUAAUUACCCCGCCUGGGGAGUACGGCCGCAAGGCUAAAACUCAGAGGAAUUUAUCGGG